This is a long non-coding RNA of Oxyura jamaicensis (ruddy duck), 425 nucleotides long. RefSeq lists it as uncharacterized. NCBI's taxonomy places the organism in Eukaryota, Metazoa, Chordata, Aves, Anseriformes, Anatidae. The record is from RefSeq and is a predicted model, not a curated record. The transcript is spliced from 3 exons.
CCCCCCGUGGUCUUUGGAUCCCAACAAAGUAUUGGGGUUCCCCCAAUGUCUUAGGGUCAACCCCUAGGUCUUGAGGUCCCCCCCAAUGUUUUAGGGUCAAUGCUGAGGUCUUGGGGUCCCAUCAAGGCCUUGAGGUGCCCCCCAAUGUCUUAGGGUCAACGCAAAUGUCUUGGGGUCCCAUCAAGGUCUUGGGGUCCCAUCAAGGUCUUGGGGUUCCACCAAGGCCUUGGGGUCCCCCCCAAUGUCUUAGGGUCAACCCCUAGGUCUUGGGGUCCCAUCAAGGUCUUGGGGUCCCCCCCGGUUUCUUAGGGUCAACCCCUAAGUCUUGGGGUCCCCCCAAUGUCUUGGGGUCCCCCUCAAUGUUUUAGGGUCAACGCCCAGGUCUUGGGGUCACCCCCUAUGUCUUGGGGUACCACCAAAAUCUU